Heterocephalus glaber (naked mole-rat) is the source of this 646-nucleotide long non-coding RNA. RefSeq lists it as uncharacterized. Lineage: Eukaryota; Metazoa; Chordata; Mammalia; Rodentia; Bathyergidae. The record is from RefSeq and is a predicted model, not a curated record.
CAGCACUCAAGACAUGCAAGAGAUUUCUUUUCAGUGAAGCAUCUGCUCCCUGGGAGAUGAUUUCUGAAUCUGAGUCCUGGAAUGGCAGGUGGGACACCUGUUCAUGGGGGGGUGAGUUGGGGGUAUUGUUCUGGAGGGAUUGCCCAGGAUCUCUGAGCAUGACACAUCACAAAGGGAAGCACAAUAACUGCCUAAGGCCUCUAGUGGAGGAUGCCGAUAAGGUGUUCCCCAGAGAGCAGAGACUGACAUCAGCUCUAGGCUGCUCCCUUGGUCAUGGAGAUUUCCCAAGGUUUCCCCAGAACAACAUUUGAGAGCAGAACAAGCUAGGAUGGUGACGAUGAUAUCCAGCAUGACACUGGAAGAAAAGCAAUAGUAGAGGCAACAUCCCAUAAUUCACUGGAAAUGCACCAAUGAUGGUGUGCAAUGAAUUGAAGUAUGAUUAACUUAAUCCUUUGAAGAACAAAGGCACCAACAAGACACAAACAAAUCGGACAGCAUCUGGAAGAUGAAGGGCUGGAAUGCAGAAAAAGUUGCAAAAACAAACAAAAAUCAAACCAAACCAAGUCACCACCACCACCACCACCAACAACAACAAUGACAACAACAAACCUGACAGCAAAAUGGGCUUGUUAUUUUGAAUAAAAAG